CGCUUUUGUCAGGGAAGAAAAGGUUCUGGCUAAUACCUGGGACUCAUGACGGUACCUGAAGAAUAAGCACCGGCUAACUACGUGCCAGCAGCCGCGGUAAUACGUAGGGUGCAAGCGUUAAUCGGAAUUACUGGGCGUAAAGCGUGCGCAGGCGGUUAUGCAAGACAGAGGUGAAAUCCC
This 180-nucleotide ribosomal RNA is filed under the name uncultured bacterium. RNAcentral's name for it is "partial 16S ribosomal RNA". It matches the Rfam family "Bacterial small subunit ribosomal RNA", at positions 431 to 603 of the family's 1533-position model. The record is from RNAcentral.